RNAcentral lists this ribosomal RNA (465 nucleotides) under Vreelandella stevensii. Its description in RNAcentral is "partial 16S ribosomal RNA". It matches the Rfam family "Bacterial small subunit ribosomal RNA", at positions 338 to 795 of the family's 1533-position model. The record is from RNAcentral. Lineage: Bacteria; Pseudomonadati; Pseudomonadota; Gammaproteobacteria; Oceanospirillales; Halomonadaceae.
CCUACGGGUGGCUGCAGUGGGGAAUAUUGGACAAUGGGCGAAAGCCUGAUCCAGCCAUGCCGCGUGUGUGAAGAAGGCCUUCGGGUUGUAAAGCACUUUCAGUGGGGAAGAAAGCCUUGGGGCUAAUACCCUCGAGGAAGGACAUCACCCACAGAAGAAGCACUGGCUAACUCCGUGCCAGCAGCCGCGGUAAUACGGAGGGUGCGAGCGUUAAUCGGAAUUACUGGGCGUAAAGCGCGCGUAGGCGGUCUGAUAAGCCGGUUGUGAAAGCCCCGGGCUCAACCUGGGAACGGCAUCCGGAACUGUCAGGCUAGGGUGCAGGAGAGGAAGGUAGAAUUCCCGGGGGAGCGGUGAAAGGCGUAGAGAUCGGGAGGAAUACCAGUGGCGAAGGCGGCCUUCUGGACUGACACUGACGCUGAGGGGCGAAAGCGUGGGUAGCAAACAGGAUUAGAUACCCGAGUAGUC